RNAcentral lists this non-coding RNA (159 nucleotides) under bovine gut metagenome. RNAcentral's name for it is "Lysine riboswitch". It matches the Rfam family "Lysine riboswitch aptamer". Rfam says of the family: Riboswitches are metabolite binding domains within certain messenger RNAs that serve as precision sensors for their corresponding targets. Allosteric rearrangement of mRNA structure is mediated by ligand binding, and this results in modulation of gene expression. This family includes riboswitches that sense lysine in a number of genes involved in lysine metabolism, including lysC. The record is from RNAcentral.
UGAUAGAGGCGCGGUUGACAUCAGUAAUUGAUUAAAGCUUGGGAAGCUCAAUGAAAGGGGAGACCGCCGAGGAUUUAAAAUCAUUCCCAAAUAGAUUUUAGAUUCGGGCCAUUUAGAUAAUAUCUAAUGGACUGUCGCAAGAAUUUGCGGAGAGCUAUC